UCCCGCUUGUCACGGGCAGUUUCCCUAGAGUUCCCGGCUUUACCCGAUGGCAACUAAGGAUGAGGGUUGCGCUCGUUGCGGGACUUAACCCAACAUCUCACGACACGAGCUGACGACAGCCAUGCAACACCUGUGUUUAGACCGGCCGAACCGAAGGACUUCCAUUACAAAGUCCAAAUCUAACAUGUCAAAGGGUGGUAAGGUUUUUCGCGUAGCAUCGAAUUAAACCACAUGCUCCACCGCUUGUGCGGGUCCCCGUCAAUUCCUUUGAGUUUUAAUCUUGCGACCGUACUCCCCAGGCGGAGUGCUUAACGUGUUAACUGUGUCACUGGCAAUUGCCAACAACUAGCACUCAUCGUUUACGGCGUGGACUAC
This 375-nucleotide unclassified non-coding RNA is filed under the name uncultured Rickettsiales bacterium. Its description in RNAcentral is "contains 16S-23S intergenic spacer region". The record is from RNAcentral. Lineage: Bacteria; Pseudomonadati; Pseudomonadota; Alphaproteobacteria; Rickettsiales.